AAUAGAUACCCUGGUAGUCCACCCCGUAAACGUUGGGAACUAGUUGUGGGGUCCUUUCCACGGAUUCCGUGACGCAGCUAACGCAUUAAGUUCCCCGCCUGGGGAGUACGGCCGCAAGGCUAAAACUCAAAGGAAUUGACGGGGACCCGCACAAGCGGCGGAACAUGCGGAUUAAUUCGAUGCAACGCGAAGAACCUUACCAAGGCUUGACAUACACCAGAACACCCUAGAAAUAGGGGACUCUUUGGACACUGGUGAACAGGUGGUGCAUGGUUGUCGUCAGCUCGUGUCGUGAGAUGUUGGGUUAAGUCCCGCAACGAGCGCAACCCUCGUUCUAUGUUGCCAGCACGUAAUGGUGGGAACUCAUGGGAUACUGCCGGGGUCAACUCGGAGGAAGGUGGGGAUGACGUCAAAUCAUCAUGCCCCUUAUGUCUUGGGCUUCACGCAUGCUACAAUGGCCGGUACAAAGGGCUGCAAUACCGUGAGGUGGAGCGAAUCCCAAAAAGCCGGUCCCAGUUCGGAUUGAGGUCUGCAACUCGACCUCA
Molecule: ribosomal RNA, 545 nt
Filed under: uncultured bacterium
Lineage: Bacteria
Description: bacterial SSU rRNA
Rfam family: Bacterial small subunit ribosomal RNA
Source: RNAcentral